RNAcentral lists this long non-coding RNA (296 nucleotides) under Vigna radiata. Its description in RNAcentral is "long non-coding RNA (VRAD_LNC013370)". The record is from RNAcentral. Lineage: Eukaryota; Viridiplantae; Streptophyta; Magnoliopsida; Fabales; Fabaceae.
GGGGUAGGACAAUCAAUUGUAUUUUGCUUCCGUUCACAUUUCAUUAUUGGUUACUAGGGGAGGCUAGGGAUAACAAGCCGAUAAUUAAUAAUAGGCUCUUUUCACCAAGGGAUUGGGUUAAGGGUAGGCUAGAAAGUUUGCAUGACAAUUGGAUAAAUAAGUGAAGUAAAUAAGAAAAGUAGAUAUAUGAGAGUGGAUAAGAUGAAAUUAUAAACCCCAACAACACCAUUCAUCCAUAGUUUCUUAAAACCAAUUGAAUCAACUGCAUUUAUAUGUUUAUUUUUGUUCUUUGCAUA